RNAcentral lists this ribosomal RNA (428 nucleotides) under uncultured bacterium. Its description in RNAcentral is "bacterial SSU rRNA". It matches the Rfam family "Bacterial small subunit ribosomal RNA", at positions 770 to 1209 of the family's 1533-position model. The record is from RNAcentral.
ACCCAAUAGAUACCCUGGUAGUCCACGCCGUAAACGAUGGAUGCUAGCUGUGUGGAGUAUCGACCCUCUGUGUAGCAAAGCUAACGCGUUAAGCAUCCCGCCUGUGGAGUACGAGCGCAAGCUUAAAACAUAAAGGAAUUGACGGGGACCCGGCACAAGCGGUGGAGCGUGUUGUUUAAUUCGAUGAUAAGCGAAGAACCUUACCCAGGUUUGACAUCCUGCUAAUCUUUCCGAAAGGAGAGAGUGCCUUCGGGCCGGCAGUGACAGGUGCUGCAUGGCCGUCGAAACGCUCGUGUCGUGAGAUGUUUGGUUUAAGUCCAUCAACGAGCGCAACCCCUGUAGUUAGUUGGAUUUUUACUAGCUAGACUGCCUCGGUAACGGGGUAGGAAGGAGGGGUAAGACGUCAGGUCAGUAUUGCCCUUACACCU